RNAcentral lists this ribosomal RNA (446 nucleotides) under uncultured bacterium. RNAcentral describes it as "partial 16S ribosomal RNA". It matches the Rfam family "Bacterial small subunit ribosomal RNA", at positions 338 to 795 of the family's 1533-position model. The record is from RNAcentral.
CCUACGGGAGGCAGCAGUCGAGAAUCAUUCACAAUGGGGGAAACCCUGAUGGUGCGACGCCGCGUGGGGGAAUGAAGGUCUUCGGAUUGUAAACCCCUGUCAUGUGGGAGCAAAUUAAAAAGAUAGUACCACAAGAGGAAGAGACGGCUAACUCUGUGCCAGCAGCCGCGGUAAUACAGAGGUCUCAAGCGUUGUUCGGAGUCACUGGGCGUAAAGCGUGCGUAGGCUGUUGCGUAAGUCGUGUGUGAAAGGCCCGGGCUCAACCCUCGGACGGCACAUGAUACUGCGAGACUAGAGUAAUGGAGGGGGAACCGGAAUUCUCGGUGUAGCAGUGAAAUGCGUAGAUAUCGAGAGGAACACUCGUGGCGAAGGCGGGUUCCUGGACAUUAACUGACGCUGAGGCACGAAAGCCAGGGGAGCGAAAGGGAUUAGAUACCCCUGUAGUC